Long non-coding RNA from Amborella trichopoda, 390 nucleotides. RefSeq lists it as uncharacterized. NCBI's taxonomy places the organism in Eukaryota, Viridiplantae, Streptophyta, Magnoliopsida, Amborellales, Amborellaceae. The record is from RefSeq and is a predicted model, not a curated record.
UUCGCACCUCUGCAUUCUCCACACGCCUCUCGCCUGCAACUGCCAAUCGGUCGCCCUCACUUCUCGCCUGCAACAACCAGCAGCUCACCUACAACAUCCAGCCUCUCUUCUUCCUUCCUCGCCAUAUUUGAAGAUACAGGAGAGGUACAAAUAGAUUCAUUGAGGAGUAUCAGACAUUGUUGGAAUUAUUAAAUGACACAUAUUUGGCUCCAAAUAUGGAUGAUAGCGCUUCUUGAGGUAUAGUAGAAGAACAUACAUAUUCAUUGAGGAGUAUCAGACAUUGUUAGAAUUAUUGAAUGACACAUAUUUGACUCCAAAUAUGGAUGAUAGCUUUAUUUGGGAUCUUACGCCUUCGGGAGAUUUUUUAGUUAAAUCAACCUACAAUUAUUA